Mercurialis annua (annual mercury) is the source of this 749-nucleotide long non-coding RNA. RefSeq lists it as uncharacterized. The transcript has 4 exons. Lineage: Eukaryota; Viridiplantae; Streptophyta; Magnoliopsida; Malpighiales; Euphorbiaceae. The record is from RefSeq and is a predicted model, not a curated record.
AGGUGGCAACUUAAAGGACCAAUUAAAAUAUUUUACCAAGCUAUAUAUACCACCUCCAUAGGCAUAUGAAGCCUUCAAAGUCUGAUUUCCAGCAAGAAAGGGUUUAGAAGAUCUUCAUCUCCUCAAAAAGCUCCAUGAUCUUCUUUUGCUUGCCGUUUCUUCGUUUUUCAUCCGAUUCGCUUGAUUUUUGCGGCACCGGAAAGAGGAGAACGAUAUCUACUGAUCUAGCCCAUAAAAUCAAGUGUAAUUGUAAGCUUAUAUGGAUGAUUUGGAUGGUGAGUUUGAUGCUAAAUCUUCAACAAAGUAUCAUCAAUCAAGACUUGACGAGACGACUACCAAUGGAACCCGAAACUUACGGAACGCGAGAUCGCUAGGUAUUAUCGAAGAUUAUGGAUAGCAAGCGUGUGUUUUUCAGGUACCUAUUCUGAACUUGGCUAGAAGUCCGUCUUUGACCGGAAGUCCCUUUGGCUAUGUACAGUCCCGACUUCCAUAAUUGCUGCAGUAGUGUAAUGUCUGACCAGUGUCGUAGCCUAGUACAUUAAUACGUUUUUCAUUGUUUACAUUUGUUGUCAGUGUGUUUAUGUUUGUUUUGACUACGAUUGUCAUAUUUAUUCCACGGAGGUAAAUUCCCGUGAGGUGUAUGUAACACUAGUAUUAUAUGUCGGGUUAGUACGUACAAGGUACGGAAACGAUAGGCCCGAGCAAGAUGUAUUGUUUUACUAGUGUAUAUAAAUGCUUCCGUUUGUAAA